This 253-nucleotide ribosomal RNA is filed under the name uncultured bacterium. RNAcentral describes it as "partial 16S ribosomal RNA". It matches the Rfam family "Bacterial small subunit ribosomal RNA", at positions 524 to 776 of the family's 1533-position model. The record is from RNAcentral.
UACGUAGGGACCGAGCGUUGUCCGGAAUCAUUGGGCGUAAAGAGCGUGUAGGCGGCCUUUUAAGUCCUGCGUGAAAUCCUGCGGCUCAACCGCAGACGGUCGUGGGAAACUGGAAGGCUAGAGUGCGGGAGAGGAGAGUGGAAUUCCCGGUGUAGCAGUGAAAUGCGUAGAGAUCGGGAGGAACAUCAGUUGCGAAGGCGGCCACCUGGACCAGCACUGACACUGAGGCACGAAAGCGUGGGGAGCAAACAGG